RNAcentral lists this ribosomal RNA (491 nucleotides) under uncultured bacterium. RNAcentral describes it as "bacterial SSU rRNA". It matches the Rfam family "Bacterial small subunit ribosomal RNA", at positions 28 to 507 of the family's 1533-position model. The record is from RNAcentral.
GAUGAACGCUAGCUACAGGCUUAACACAUGCAAGUCGAGGGGAAACGACAUCGAAAGCUUGCUUUGAUGGGCGUCGACCGGCGCACGGGUGAGUAACGCGUAUCCAACCUGCCCACCACUUGAGGAUAACCUUGCGAAAGUAAGACUAAUACCCGAUGAUAUCCCUAGACGACAUCUGAAAGGGAUUAAAGAUUUAUCGGUGAUGGAUGGGGAUGCGUCUGAUUAGCUUGUUGGCGGGGUAACGGCCCACCAAGGCAACGAUCAGUAGGGGUUCUGAGAGGAAGGUCCCCCACAUUGGAACUGAGACACGGUCCAAACUCCUACGGGAGGCAGCAGUGAGGAAUAUUGGUCAAUGGGCGAGAGCCUGAACCAGCCAAGUAGCGUGCAGGACGACGGCCCUAUGGGUUGUAAACUGCUUUUAUAAGGGAAUAAAGUGAGUCUCGUGAGACUUUUUGCAUGUACCUUAUGAAUAAGGACCGGCUAAUUCCGUG